GGGUUGUGAGGUUAAGCGAAUAAGCGUACACGGUGGAUGCCUAGGCAGUCAGAGGCGAUGAAGGACGUGCUAAUCUGCGAUAAGCGCCGGUAAGGUGAUAUGAACCGUUAUAACCGGCGA
Molecule: ribosomal RNA, 120 nt
Filed under: Morganella morganii
Lineage: Bacteria; Pseudomonadati; Pseudomonadota; Gammaproteobacteria; Enterobacterales; Morganellaceae
Description: partial 23S ribosomal RNA
Rfam family: Bacterial large subunit ribosomal RNA
Source: RNAcentral